AUGGCUCAGGGGCAGAGCACAUGCCUGCCAUGAAUGAGGCUCUGGGUUUGAUCCCCAGU
Molecule: transfer RNA, 59 nt
Filed under: Erinaceus europaeus (western European hedgehog)
Lineage: Eukaryota; Metazoa; Chordata; Mammalia; Eulipotyphla; Erinaceidae
Rfam family: tRNA
About the family: Transfer RNA (tRNA) molecules are approximately 80 nucleotides in length. Their secondary structure includes four short double-helical elements and three loops (D, anti-codon, and T loops).
Source: Rfam by way of RNAcentral